RNAcentral lists this ribosomal RNA (253 nucleotides) under uncultured bacterium. RNAcentral's name for it is "partial 16S ribosomal RNA". It matches the Rfam family "Bacterial small subunit ribosomal RNA", at positions 524 to 776 of the family's 1533-position model. The record is from RNAcentral.
UACAGAGGUCCCAAGCGUUGUUCGGAUUCAUUGGGCGUAAAGGGUGCGUAGGCGGCGGGGUAAGUCUGAUGUGAAAUCCCGGGGCUCAACCCUGGAACUGCAUUGGAUACUGCCUUGCUAGAGAACUGGAGAGGAGACUGGAAUUUACGGUGUAGCAGUGAAAUGCGUAGAGAUCGUAAGGAAGACCAGUGGCGAAGGCGAGUCUCUGGACAGUUACUGACGCUGAGGCACGAAGGCCAGGGGAGCAAACGGG